Molecule: long non-coding RNA, 2204 nt
Filed under: Homo sapiens (human)
Lineage: Eukaryota; Metazoa; Chordata; Mammalia; Primates; Hominidae
Description: HSALNT0327919
Source: RNAcentral
CCACAUAACCUCUGCGGCUACUGCCCUAGAACAAAUCAUCACCAUCUCUGCUUGGCCCUUCCCUGUAACCUCUGACUGGCUUGCCUACUUCAGUUCUUUCCUUCUGUACCCCCUCCCUCAUGUUAUUUGCCACAUAAAAGCAAGAGUUAUCCUUUUUUAAAAAAAUGCAAAUUGUGGUAGCACACCCCUGUAACCCCAGCUACUCUGGAGGCUGAAGCAAGAGCAUUGUUUGAACUCAACAGUUGGAGGCUGUAGUGUACUAUGAUCACCCCUGUAGAUAAUCCACUGCACUCUAGCCUGGGCAACACAUCGAGACCCUGUCUCUUAUAACAAAAAAAAAAAAACCUACAAGUCCAAUUGUGCCUUAAAACUCUCUUUUGGCAUGUCAUCGCAUUUAGAACAAAAUCCUGCGUUCCUAAGUCCUUACCCUGCCUUCCUAGAAGGCUUUAAUGAUCUGUCCCCUCUGCCUUUGGUGUUCACUCUGCUUUGGCCACUGGGACCUUCUCAGUCCUCAAUUCACCAAACACACUCCUGGAUUAGGGUCUUUAUACUUACUGUUCACUCUGCCUGAAAUGUUCUUCCCUCAGAUGAGCACUUGGCAUGCUCACAUACUUCUUUCAGGUCUUUGUUCAAAUGUCACCUCCUCAGAGAGGCUUUUGCUGACAAACCUAUUCAAAAUUGCAUCCUCUGGCCCCACUUUACACUCUAAUUCCUUACACUGCUUUAUUUUAUUCUUCAUAGUACUUAUCAUCAUUAUCAAGCAUGUAUCACUUAUUGUUUAUUUGCUUGCUUCUUGUCUGUUUUCCUUACAAGAUUGAAAUCUUCAUGAAGGUAGGGACUCUGUUUUGUUCACUAUGUUAUCCUUAGUGCUAAAAACAGUGCCUGGCACCUAGUAGGCACUUUUUACUUAAUAUCUAAAUCAAUACAUAUAUGAAUGAGUGAAUGAAUGAAUGAAUGAGUGAAUGAAAAACUCCAAGUCUACUCUCAACUUUGCAGGAAUUCUUUUUCGAGUAUCAGUCUGAUCCUGUCUGGCUUCUAUCUUUUGUGCUUUUAUAGAUUCCUUAAAAUUCUAGUCUGCCAAUAGUACCUAUUCUGAUUUAAGUAAAGUUAUGAGAUUCAUUUUGUUUUUAAUUUUUUCUGAGGAAUAUUUUUUUCUGAAGAGAUAAGCAGAUUGAUGAGCUCAUCUUGAUCUUUGUCAGUAUAUUUAAAUCAUUGGUUAGGAUAAUUUUUAACAUGUUAAACUUUAGGGCUCAGAGACUCUUUAACUUCCUCAUGUUACAGAUUUUAAAAUGAGACUCAGAGAAGUGAUUCAGUUUACCCAAAUCCCCCUACAAAACACAGCUCUAAAUAAAUACUAAUUCUGUGCCUCUGCAAAAUAUUGUGCAGGCUCACUUGCGAGGCAUGCAGGAAACUCAACAACUGUCAGAAAGAAAGCUCGGAAAUGGCAGAAGGAUCUCAGAAAUAAUCUUAGCUGUAAGGACUGGCCUCAAAGACGGUGGCACCAUUUGAAUCAUAGGGCUUAGCAAACUCAAGGUUAUCUUUUCAAUCUGUUGAUUGCUUCCUUGGCUGUGCAGAAGCUCUUUGGUUUGAUAUAACCCCAUUUGUUUAUUUUUGCUUUCAUGGCCUAUGUUUUUGAGGUCUUAUUCACAAAAUCUUUUCCCACACCAACGUCCUAAAGUGUUUCCUUUUUUUUUUUCUAGUAGUUUAUAGUUUUGGAUCUUACAUUUAGGUCUUGGGUCCAUUUUGAAUUGAUUUUUUUAAUAGAGUGAGAGGUGGGGGUUUAGUUUCAUUCUUCUGCAUAUGGACAUCCAGUUUCCCCAGCACCAUUUAUUAUAGAGACUAUCCUUUCCCUAAUGGCUCACCCUUAGUGCCUUCUAGGUAAGACUGCCUUGGCUUCCCUCUGCUAAUCAGGGAAAAGGUGAUUGGAUAGAGUCAUGUUUCACCUGAAGUAUUUUGGCCCCUUAUCUGAACCAGUCAUUACAUCUUAAGGCAGUUGUAACUAGGCUGCUAUAAUGAUCUGACAAAAGACCUAUUCCUCCAACAUUACCAGUCAUUAACUUUCCAAGACAAGAUGUGACAUGCCACAGCCCUCAGAUAGUUCAUCCAGAAGGAGUCUCUUCUUGACAAAUAUAAUCCCUCUUCACCUUUGUUCAUGACAAUUUUAUUUCUUCCACGGUGUCAAACUACCAAUUUUUCCAAGUCAG